UACCUGCAGCUCAAGUGGUGGCCGCUAUUAUUGGGCCUAAAACGUUCGUAGCCGGUUUAGUAAAUGCUUGGGUAAAUUGUGUCGCUUAACGAUACGAAUACCGGGUAGACUGCGUAAACUUGGGACCGGGAGAGGCUAGAGGUACUCCUAGGGUAGAGGUGAAAUUCUGUAAUCCUGGGGGGACCACCAGUGGCGAAGGCGUCUAGCUAGAACGGGUCUGACGGUGAGGGACGAAGCCCUGGGGCGCAAACCGGAUUAGAUACCCGCGUA
RNAcentral lists this ribosomal RNA (270 nucleotides) under uncultured prokaryote. Its description in RNAcentral is "partial 16S ribosomal RNA". It matches the Rfam family "Archaeal small subunit ribosomal RNA", at positions 474 to 743 of the family's 1478-position model. The record is from RNAcentral.